ACAUGGAUGAUAGCAAGUUAAAUUUUAUAGAAUUGUAAAUAAUGAAAAGCAGUAUCUUUCCAUCCUAGGUCCCUUAGUUCCUUUACUCCCUCCACAAAGACAGAUGUCUUACAGUUUCCUAUUAUUUCUUCUCAGAAUUGUAUUUGUAAAAUGUGUAAAUAUCUCUCCCCUUUAUUUCCUUUAACCAAAAUGGAAGCAUAUUUUCUUCACCUUCUCUAUAUAACUAUUUUGCCAUCUUAAGGACUUUUACAAGCUGCGUAAUAUGUCUUAUUAUGGAUGUACCUUGUUUUAUUUAAACAAUUAUUGGUAGUGGAUAUUUGGAUGUUUCUAGUAUUUCUUUUCUCACAAACAAAAUGGUAAAUAUGCCUUUGCUCAUAUUCACCAUUGACCAUUGUUGAGUAUAUCAUUAGGAACGACAUAUUUAAAAUACUUUGUGAAGGCAUACAAAUAAUAUGAAUAUUUUGUUUUAUUUCAAAGUGUUUUUUUUCCCAAAGUGAUGGCUGGGGUCUCAGAAGUUUGUGGUAUGAGUUUUGGGAACACUAGACGCUUCAAAUGAGGCAUGAGGUGCUAGAUACUACCCAGCAGGUUGCAUGGGAAAAAAAAGCUGGCUGUGGACUCUGAGAAAAGUAAAAAUGACAUUUAAAUAUUAAAAAUGGAGAAACUCAGCUGCAGCUCCUUCUUUAACCUUAAAUUGCACCUGGGCACCUGUAAUUCCAGUGAUUUGGGAGGAUUCCAAGUUCAAGGCCAGCCUCAGCAUCUUAGCAAGACCCUGUCUCAAAAAAAAAAAAUAAAUAAAUAAAAAGAACUGGAGAUGUAGCUCAGUUUUAUAGCACCCCUGGGUUCAAUCUCCAAUACCAAAAGUAAAUAAAAGAUAAUCAUAUUGGAGGUACUAUAAAUUACUUAUGCCUGAUUCUUCUGCCUCCUCAUUUCCCACUAAAAAUUAGAUUAAUGUCUUGUUUGGAAUGCUUUGCACAGCUAUAUGAUUAGAAUGAUUUUAAUAAAUAGGGUCACAUUUAAGGAGGUUUUCUAAGGGAAAUGAAGACUCGUGUGAUACACAAACAUGCUUUAUGUGAUAUUUAGGAUUUUCCUGUAAAGAUAUUGUGUUUUUUUGUUUGUUUGUUUGUUUUUUUAAAGAGAGAGAGAGAGAUGGAGAGAGAGAGAGUUUUUUAAUAUUUAGUUUUUAGUUUUCGGCGGACACAACAUCUUUGUUUGUGGUGCUGAGGAUCGAACCUGGGCCGCACGCAUGCCAGGUGAGCGCGCUACCGCUUGAGUCACAUCCCCCACCCCAAGAUACUGUUUUUUGAGAAGAGUUUUUAAGUUAUAUAAUUGAAGCACAUUAAGUUUGGUGAUGCAAUUUGAGAAAUUAAUGUACUUUCUUAUGAAAAGGAACCUACCUAGAAAGUACUCUAUUUCUCCUAAGAUCUGGGGUCAAAGGAGAGAUUUUGAAACAUAACAACAAUGGCUUCUAUUUAUUGAAAGGAAUUCUUUUAUUUCUUACAGGGCCCCUUCCAGGGAGAUUUUAUAUUUUGAGAUACAGGCUUUUGACUUUUCUACAAAUGUUUUCUCUAAGGCUCCCCUGCUAGUUUUUAGCUGUAGCAUUCUUCUAGUAGUACAGUUGUUUUAUGAGUUAGAAACCUGGCAGUAUUCCUUUAACAUUAUCUCCUUGUUGUGCAUCCUCCCACAUCCCAUUCUGUAUCUCAGGAGGUUUGUACCAUCCUCUAAGUUUCUUAAGAAUUCAUUAUUUUUCCCCCCAUUUCUUUUACCCUCUUUCUGGUUCAGGUGAACUGGUUUCAUCUCAUUUGCACUCUUUUAUCUCCCCUGGAUUCUCCCAAUUCAUUCUCUGCUCAUUAGCUAACAUGAAUUAUUUAAAUGUCCAUUCUGAUCAUGCUGUUCUUUGCUCAAAACUCUCUAGUGCCUUCCCAAUGUCCUUACAAUAAAAUCCCUCAUAUGGCCUUUGUGGAUCUACACCACUAGACUCCAACUUUUUCACCUAUUGAAACAAACCCUUUCCUCCUUUUCUUUUUCCAGUCACACUUCUCUUUCUGUGCUACAAACUGGCCAAGCUUCUUCCAUCCUCAGGGCCUUUGCACAAAUUCUUCCUUUGCCUUAGAAAUCUUCCCUAACCUGCACAUCCCUUUUCCAAGCUAAUGCCUUAUCCUUUAGGUCUCAUUUAAAAUAUCCAGGGAAAAUUUCCCUAUUCAAACAAGUUAGAGACUGGUCCCCUGUUAUUUACUCUUAUUUGCUAUUUUGUUUCUUUUUCUUAGUAUUUACUACAAUCCUAAUGGUACAGUUGUGUUUCUUUUUUAUUUUUUUCUAUUAUUGGCAUAGGUAAUACAUACAUAUAAAAUGAAAUUCAAAUUGUACAAAAGGUAGAGUGAAAAUUCUCCUGUUCCCUGUACCUUUGGUGCCCAGUUCUCCUCCCUAAAAGUAACAUUUAGUAUUUUGACUCUCCUUCCAGAAAUAUUUUCCGAGUAUACAAGCAAUUAUGUACAUAAUAUUUCUCUUUUUUUAAAAAAUUAAAGAUAGUAUAUGCAUUUUUCUGCACUUUGUCUUUGUUAAUUAUGUAUCCUGGCAAUUCUUCUAUAUCAAUAUGUAAAUAGUUGCCUCUUUAUUUUUCAUGUGCCAUAUAGUAUGGAAUUAUAAUUUAUUUAACUUCUAUUGUUGGACAUUUAGGUUGCUUUCAAGCUUUGGUUUAUUGUAAACAAUGCUGCAUCAUAUACCUUUGUAUGUAAUUUCCCUCAUCUAUACCUAUAGAAUAAAU
RNAcentral lists this long non-coding RNA (2761 nucleotides) under Marmota monax (woodchuck). The record is from RNAcentral. Lineage: Eukaryota; Metazoa; Chordata; Mammalia; Rodentia; Sciuridae.